GUGAGGGGGCAGGGACUGUCGGGUAUUAAACCCGAGGAAGUUCCGCCCACCGCACCGGGACCGCGGUGCCGCAAGGCACCUCCCGGAAGGGAGGGCAACGGCGCAGAAACGACACGCCCUUCGGGAGAUGUGGAUGAAAGCGGUGAAGGUUCCCGGCGACGGGAGCCGAGUUAACCCGCAGACAAUCCCGGGGGGAACGGUGAAACGGCCGUCCCGCGGGGUGCAAGGCCGAGAGAGGGGCAAUGAGUUCCCGGUGUGAGCCCCGUGGUAGGCCGCUCAGUCGAAUGUCCCUUACUACAGAAGGCGGGCUAUAGCCCCCUCAC
This 323-nucleotide RNase P RNA is filed under the name Thermococcus sp. 2319x1. It matches the Rfam family "Archaeal RNase P". Rfam says of the family: Ribonuclease P (RNase P) is a ubiquitous endoribonuclease, found in archaea, bacteria and eukarya as well as chloroplasts and mitochondria. Lineage: Archaea; Methanobacteriati; Methanobacteriota; Thermococci; Thermococcales; Thermococcaceae. The record is from RNAcentral.